GCGCCCUUGGCCGAGUGGUCAGGCUCCAGCCUUCCAAGCUGGCUACGUCGGUUCGAUUCCGACAGUGCGCUCCA
RNAcentral lists this transfer RNA (74 nucleotides) under Nevskiaceae bacterium. RNAcentral's name for it is "Sinobacteraceae bacterium tRNA-Gly". It matches the Rfam family "tRNA". Rfam says of the family: Transfer RNA (tRNA) molecules are approximately 80 nucleotides in length. Lineage: Bacteria; Pseudomonadati; Pseudomonadota; Gammaproteobacteria; Nevskiales; Nevskiaceae. The record is from RNAcentral.